AGGGAGUCGUGCUCAUUUAGUAGGUUUGUUUGCAGAUAAAAGCGUGACAGCCUCAUCCUGUAAUCAUAGGAGGUUGCCAAUAUCAUCCCAUAAGAAUGAACCUUCAGGGACUGAGUAGGGUGAGUGAUUCAGCAGAAUUCUGCCUUGGGGAAGGAUAAUGAGAGUGAUUCCCAAAAGGGAUUCUCCUCCCCCUUCCUCCCCAUAGUUUUGUUUCUUGUGAGCAGUACCACCAGCGGCAGGCACUGGGGGCCCGGAGCUGUCAUUUCACUUUGUUCACCAGAAGCUGUCCUCAUAUGUUUUGCGUCAUAGCUUUUGAGAUUAAGAACAGCCACAUACCACCGGCAUGCAGUGAAAAUAUAAGACUGGAGAAGGCAGAAGAAAAAAGGGGAUAAAGAACGAGCGGUGUGUUCUACGAGGGAGCAAACAGGGAGAAACUAGAGAAGCUGAAGAAAUUUGCUGAGUGUCCAAAUGGCUGAAGCAGAAAAAUGAGUUAGCCUAUAUAAAUCCUCUUCUAAAAACAUGAUGAGCCUGCAGAGAGGCAACAAAUAUUUGCAGUCAUGGUCUUUACCUAAUGAGGUCUUACUUAAAAUAUUCUUGGCAUUUUUGUGUUUGGUUAGCUCAUUUUAAAACACAAACUUUCUUUAAGAACCCUAAAUCUUCUUUACAGUGUGCAACUUCAAAAGAAGUUAAAUUUAAAAUUUAAUCAUGAUUUCAAA
Molecule: long non-coding RNA, 716 nt
Organism: Cygnus olor (mute swan)
Lineage: Eukaryota; Metazoa; Chordata; Aves; Anseriformes; Anatidae
Exons: 2
Source: RefSeq, a predicted model, not a curated record